RNAcentral lists this unclassified non-coding RNA (305 nucleotides) under plant metagenome. Its description in RNAcentral is "partial contains 5.8S ribosomal RNA, internal transcribed spacer 2, and large subunit ribosomal RNA". The stretch from base 1 to 105 matches the Rfam family "5.8S ribosomal RNA", at positions 50 to 154 of the family's 154-position model. The record is from RNAcentral.
GAAAUGCGAUAAGUAGUGUGAAUUGCAGAAUUCAGUGAAUCAUCGAAUCUUUGAACGCACAUUGCGCCCUUUGGUAUUCCAAAGGGCAUGCCUGUUCGAGCGUCAUUUGUACCCUCAAGCUUUGCUUGGUGUUGGGCGUCUUGUCUCCAGUUCGCUGGAGACUCGCCUUAAAGUAAUUGGCAGCCGGCCUACUGGUUUCGGAGCGCAGCACAAGUCGCGCUCUCUUCCAGCCAAGGUCAGCAUCCACAAAGCCUUUUUUCAACUUUUGACCUCGGAUCAGGUAAGGAUACCCGCUGAACGUAAGC